Molecule: ribosomal RNA, 756 nt
Filed under: uncultured archaeon
Lineage: Archaea
Description: bacterial SSU rRNA
Rfam family: Archaeal small subunit ribosomal RNA
Source: RNAcentral
GGACAACCUACCCUCCGGACGGGUAUAAACCCGGGAAACUGGGUAUAAUCCCCGAUAGAUCUCGGUCGCUGGAAUGCCCCGAGAUCGGAAGCUCCGGCGCCAGAGGAUGGGUCUGCGGCCUAUCAGGUAGUAGUGGGUGUAGCGUACCUACUAGCCUACGACGGGUACGGGUUGUGAGAGCAAGAGCCCGGAGAUGGAUUCUGAGACACGAAUCCAGGCCCUACGGGGUGCAGCAGGCGCGAAAACUUUACAAUGCCGGCAACGGCGAUAAGGGGACCUCGAGUGCCAGGUUACAAAUCUGGCUGUCGUGAUGCCUAAAAAGCAUUGCAUAGCAAGGGCCGGGCAAGACCGGUGCCAGCCGCCGCGGUAACACCGGCGGCUCGAGUGGUAACCGUUAUUAUUGGGUCUAAAGGGUCUGUAGCCGGCCGGAUAAGUCUCUUGAGAAAUCCAGCAGCUCAACUGUUGGGCUUUCAGGAGAUACUGUUCGGCUCGAGGCCGGGAGAGGUGAGAGGUACUUCAGGGGUAGGGGUGAAAUCUUGUAAUCCUUGAAGGACCACCAGUGGCGAAGGCGUCUCACCAGAACGGACCUGACGGCAAGGGACGAAAGCUAGGGGCACGAACCGGAUUAGAUACCCGGGUAGUCCUAGCUGUAAACUAUGCUCGCUAGGUGUCAGGGACGGUGCGACCGUUUCUGGUGCCGCAGGGAAGCCGUGAAGCGAGCCACCUGGGAAGUACGGUCGCAAGGCUGAAACUUAA